CAGCCGCCGCGGUAAUACGGAGGGUGCAAGCGUUAUCCGGAAUCAUUGGGUUUAAAGGGUCCGCAGGCGGUGCUAUAAGUCAGUGGUGAAAUCUCAUAGCUUAACUAUGAAACUGCCAUUGAUACUGUAGCACUUGAAUUCGGUCGAAGUGGGCGGAAUAUGACAUGUAGCGGUGAAAUGCAUAGAUAUGUCAUAGAACACCGAUAGCGAAGGCAGCUCACUAGGCCUGGAUUGACGCUCAGGGACGAAAGCGUGGGGAGCAAACAGGAUUAGAUACCCUGGUAGUCCACGCCGUAAACUAUCAAUACUCGUUUUCAGCGAUAUACAGUUGGAGACUAAGCGAAAGUGAUAAGUAUUGCACCUGGGGAGUACGAUCGCAAGGUUGAAACUCAAAGGAAUUGACGG
RNAcentral lists this ribosomal RNA (405 nucleotides) under Bacteroidetes bacterium enrichment culture clone LiUU-16-756. Its description in RNAcentral is "bacterial SSU rRNA". It matches the Rfam family "Bacterial small subunit ribosomal RNA", at positions 509 to 916 of the family's 1533-position model. The record is from RNAcentral. Lineage: Bacteria; Pseudomonadati; Bacteroidota.